GAUGAACGCUGGCGGCGUGCUUAACACAUGCGAGUCGAACGAAGCACUUUAUUUGAUUUCCUUCGGGACUGAUUAUUUUGUGACUGAGUGGCGGACGGGUGAGUAACGCGUGGGUAACCUGCCUUGUACAGGGGGAUAACAGUUGGAAACGGCUGCUAAUACCGCAUAAGCGCACAGCAUCGCAUGAUGCAGUGUGAAAAACUCCGGUGGUAUAAGAUGGACCCGCGUUGGAUUAGCUAGUUGGUGAGGUAACGGCCCACCAAGGCGACGAUCCAUAGCCGACCUGGGAGGGUGACCGGCCACAUUGGGACUGAGACACGGCCCAAACUCCUACGGGAGGCAGCAGUGGGGAAUAUUGCACAAUGGGCGAAAGCCUGAUGCAGCGACGCCGCGUGAGCGAAGAAGUAUUUCGGUAUGUAAAGCUCUAUCAGCAGGGAAGAUAAUGACGGUACCCGACGAAGAAGCACCGGCUAAAUACGUG
This 481-nucleotide ribosomal RNA is filed under the name uncultured bacterium. RNAcentral's name for it is "partial 16S ribosomal RNA". It matches the Rfam family "Bacterial small subunit ribosomal RNA", at positions 28 to 507 of the family's 1533-position model. The record is from RNAcentral.